RNAcentral lists this ribosomal RNA (559 nucleotides) under Occidentarius platypogon (cominate sea catfish). RNAcentral's name for it is "partial 16S ribosomal RNA". It matches the Rfam family "Bacterial large subunit ribosomal RNA", at positions 1819 to 2595 of the family's 2925-position model. The record is from RNAcentral. Lineage: Eukaryota; Metazoa; Chordata; Actinopteri; Siluriformes; Ariidae.
CCUCCCGCAAAAAUCAACGUAUAGGAGGUCCCGCCUGCCCAGUGACAAGUUAAACGGCCGCGGUAUUUUGACCGUGCAAAGGUAGCGCAAUCACUUGUCUUUUAAAUGAAGACCUGUAUGAAUGGUAGAACGAGGGCUUAACUGUCUCCCUUUUUAGGUCAAUGAAAUUGAUCUGUCCGUGCAGAAGCGGACAUAAUAAUACAAGACGAGAAGACCCUUUGGAGCUUAAGACUCCAGAUCAAUUAUGUCAAGAACUUACCAAGUUAAACCAAAUAAUAUCUGAUCCUAGUCUUUAGUUGGGGCGACCACGGGAGAAAAUAAAGCUCCCAUGAGGACUGGACCCACCUCCAGAACCAAGAAAGACAUCUCUAAGUCACAGAACCUCUGACCAUAAAGAUCCGGCCACCCGCCGACCAACGGACCAAGUUACCCUAGGGAUAACAGCGCAAUCCCCUUUCAGAGUCCAUAUCGACAAGGGGGUUUACGACCUCGAUGUUGGAUCAGGACAUCCUAAUGGUGCAGCCGCUAUUAAGGGUUCGUUUGUUCAACGAUUAAAGUC